GCAAGCUCAUUUGACUGUGAGGCCGAACCAACAGGUCCCAGUGCAGAGUUCUGCUGGAAAUCCUAGUGCAGGUAGAAAUUCUCUUCCUGGUCAACCUCAGCUUCCGUGGCCAAGGAUUACGCAGUCUGAUUAUCAGAAGUAUAGCAAAGUAUUUAUGGCAGUGGACACAGAUAGGGAUGGAAAAAUUACUGGCGCAGAGGCACGGAGCUUGUUUCUAAGUUGGAAGCUGCCCCGAGAGGUCUUAAAACAGGUGUGGGAUUUAUCAGAUCAAGAUAAUGACAGCAUGCUUUCUUU
Molecule: unclassified non-coding RNA, 294 nt
Filed under: Hevea brasiliensis (rubber tree)
Lineage: Eukaryota; Viridiplantae; Streptophyta; Magnoliopsida; Malpighiales; Euphorbiaceae
Source: RNAcentral